CUUCUUGUUGUUGUUUCCCUAGUAAUCAUCCUUCAAAAAACCAAUUCGGUAUUGAAUUGAACUGACAUUUAGUUUUUCUAAAUUAUAAAUUUAGAAGUAAAUUGAAAUGCAAGGCUUCAACGACGCCGUUCAAGACUUUUUCACAAGUACAUUUACAAUUAAACGGCCAUAUAUUUAAGAUUAUGGGCAUAUUUGUCUAUUGUCUUUUAACUUCAACAACAUACCUAUACGAGGGUUUGUAAUGUUCAUCCUCUCACUUCGGAUCUGUCAGGCGAAGUACAUACCUAUCUCUUUACGCUCCAACAAAUAUCGACAAGAAAUUCACUAAUUGUAUAACCUGAAAAGGAGGUGGACGUAUGGCCUCUGCAAAAGAGUUUUAGAACGACCAGUUGAUACCUUCAUAAAGCGACAAAAUAUACAGUCGUAAUUUGAAUUGAAAUUUAAAAUUUCCAAAAACAAUGAACAAUUUACAAUAUGUUUUUAAUAAUAAGUAUUGCUUCGACAAAAAGUAUUCCAUUGGGCUACUUCCUGUAUAUUAUAUAUAUUUGCUAAUUUUAAAUGUAUUUCAUUAAAACUUUGCCUAGCCGUAAAGGACAAUAUACUACAAUAUAAUAUUGA
Musca domestica (house fly) is the source of this 618-nucleotide long non-coding RNA. RefSeq lists it as uncharacterized. The record is from RefSeq and is a predicted model, not a curated record. NCBI's taxonomy places the organism in Eukaryota, Metazoa, Arthropoda, Insecta, Diptera, Muscidae. The transcript is spliced from 2 exons.